Molecule: ribosomal RNA, 375 nt
Filed under: uncultured eukaryote
Lineage: Eukaryota
Description: partial 18S ribosomal RNA
Rfam family: Eukaryotic small subunit ribosomal RNA
Source: RNAcentral
CAAUAGCGUAUAUUUAAGUUGUUGCAGUUAAAAAGCUCGUAGUUGGAUUUCGGUUAAGAGCGACCGGUCCGCCGUUUGGUGUGCACUGGUUGGUUUUAACUUCCUGUAGAGGACGUGCUCUGGGUUUAACGACCUGGGCUCGGAGUCUACGUGGUUACUUUGAAAAAAUUAGAGUGUUCAAAGCGGGCUUACGCUUGAAUAUUUCAGCAUGGAAUAACACUAUAGGACUCCUGUCCUAUUUCGUUGGUCUCGGGACGGGAGUAAUGAUUAAGAGGAACAGUUGGGGGCAUUCGUAUUUCAUUGUCAGAGGUGAAAUUCUUGGAUUUAUGAAAGACGAACUUCUGCGAAAGCAUUUGCCAAGGAUGUUUNCAUUAA